GCGCACCAGGCGCGAAUACUUUACAAUGUGCGAAAGCACGAUAAGGGAACUCUGAGUGCCUCCUAAGGAGGCUGUUCAGGUGUCUAAAAAGACACCUGAAGGAAGGGCUGGGUAAGACCGGUGCCAGCCGCCGCGGUAACACCGGCAGCCCAAGUGGUAGCCACGUUUAUUGGGUCUAAAGCGUCCGUAGCCGGCUGGGUAAGUUCCUUGGGAAAUUUGGCUGCUUAACAGUCAAGCUUUCAGGGAAUACUGCCCGGCUUGGGGACCGGGGAGAGGUCAGAGGUACUCCAGGGGUAGGGGUGAAAUCCAUUAAUCCUUGGGGGACCACCGGUAGCGAAGGCGUCUGACCAGACCGGGUCCGACGGUGAGGGACGAAGGCUA
RNAcentral lists this ribosomal RNA (381 nucleotides) under uncultured microorganism. RNAcentral's name for it is "bacterial SSU rRNA". It matches the Rfam family "Archaeal small subunit ribosomal RNA", at positions 330 to 713 of the family's 1478-position model. The record is from RNAcentral.